This 588-nucleotide long non-coding RNA is filed under the name Nicotiana tabacum (common tobacco). RNAcentral describes it as "long non-coding RNA (NTAB_LNC012446)". The record is from RNAcentral. Lineage: Eukaryota; Viridiplantae; Streptophyta; Magnoliopsida; Solanales; Solanaceae.
UGUUUAGGGUUUAAAACCCUAAUGCUGACUGAAUGGAAAAGAGUUUAGUUUAGGGUUUAAAACCCUAAUGCUGACUAAAGGAAAAGUUCAGUUUAGGGUUUAAAAACCCUAAUGCUGACUAAAGGAAAAGUUCAGUUUAGGGUUUAAAAUCCUAAUGCUGACUGAAUGGAAAAAGUUCAGUUUAGGGUUUAAAACCCUAAUGCUGACCGAAUGGAAAAGAGUUCAGUUUAGGGUUUAAAACCCUAAUGCUGAUCGAAUGGAAAAGAGUUCAGCUUAGGGUUUAAAACCCUAAUGCUGACUAGAUGGAAAAGAGUUUAGUUUAGGGUUUAAAAGCCUAAUGCUGACUGGAUGGAAAAGAGUUCAGUUUAGGGUUUAAAACACUAAUGCUGACUCUGACUAUAGGAGAAGUUCAGUUUAGGGUUUAAAACUCUAAUGCUGACUAAAUGGAAAAGAGUUCAGGUUAGGGUAUAAAACCCUAAUGCUGACUAAAGGAAAAGUUCAGUUUAGGGUUUAAAACCCUAAUGCUGACUAAAGGAAAAGUUCAGUUUAGGGUUUAAAACCUUAAUGCUGACUGAAUGGAAAAGUUCA